AUAAUGUUAAUACACAUAACCAACCUGUUACUUUAUUCAUCCAUCCUUUUUGCAUCAUUACCCUCAAUCCAUUUCUCUCUCUCUCUCUCUCUCUCUCUCUCUCUCUUUCACGCAUGCACACACACACACACACACACACACACAGAGACACGCAAUCCUCACUUUUUCUCAUUAACCAUCAUUGCCCCAUCUAUUUCCCCAGUGACGGCUGCAGCGGCACCUUCGAUAAGCCAUCUCCAUGGAAACAGCCCAGCAACAGGCUGGCCCCUCAUGGCCAAUGAGAGCCUGAGGUGUCUCGGUUUCUCCUCCAAUGGUGGUGGGGGGCUGCUGAGCUCAAGAUCCUAUAAAAAAUAGGCUUCUCACCCAUUCUUGGGUUGCAACCGACCAGCUGAGAUGCAACUGCUCCAGAGAGUUUCACCAGUCUGAUGAACCCUAGA
This is a long non-coding RNA of Cyprinus carpio (common carp), 437 nucleotides long. NCBI's taxonomy places the organism in Eukaryota, Metazoa, Chordata, Actinopteri, Cypriniformes, Cyprinidae. The record is from Ensembl.